Molecule: non-coding RNA, 406 nt
Filed under: uncultured fungus
Lineage: Eukaryota; Fungi
Also listed under: 1 other name
Source: RNAcentral
AGAGUUAAACAGUGCGUGAAAUUGUUGAAAGGGAAACGUUUGACACCAGCUUUGCGGGUGGGAAAUCAGUCGCGUUGCAGUGGGGAGUGGCAAGGGUUCAGACCGCAAGGCUGGCCUUUGUCUCAUCUCGGUUGCGGGCGAUGCACUUUUUCAUCUGCAGGUCAACAUCAGUUUCCUCCGCUGGACAAAACCUCGAGAGAAUGUAGCAGCUCUGGCUGUGUUAUAGCUCUGAGGCGAUACAGUGGUGGGGACUGAGGUUUCGCAGUGUGUGCUCUCGGGCAAGGCUGACUGGGUGCUACGGAAUGGUUCAGUGUACAAUGCUUGCAUUUUGCGCUGAGUCUGUUCUGUACUCGCUCAACUCGGUUCUUCCACGCUUAGGAUGUUGACAUAAUGGUUUUAAACGACC